This 451-nucleotide ribosomal RNA is filed under the name uncultured bacterium. Its description in RNAcentral is "partial 16S ribosomal RNA". It matches the Rfam family "Bacterial small subunit ribosomal RNA", at positions 29 to 523 of the family's 1533-position model. The record is from RNAcentral.
AACGAACGCUGGCGGCAUGCCUAACACAUGCAAGUCGAACGAUGGCUUCGGCCAUAGUGGCGCACGGGUGAGUAACACGUGGGAAUCUACCUGACAGUGGGGAAUAACAGAGGGAAACUUCUGCUAAUACCGCAUACGCCCCUUCGGGGGGAAAGAUUUAUCGCUGACAGAUGAGCCCGCGUCCGAUUAGGUAGUUGGGGGGGUAAAGGCCUACCAAGCCUUCGAUCGGUAGCUGGUCUGAGAGGAUGAUCAGCCACACUGGGACUGAGACACGGCCCAGACUCCUACGGGAGGCAGCAGUGGGGAAUAUUGGACAAUGGGCGCAAGCCUGAUCCAGCAAUGCCGCGUGAAUGAUGAAGGCCUUAGGGUUGUAAAGUUCUUUCGGGUGGGACGAUGAUGACGGUACCACCAGAGGAAGCCCCGGCUAACUUCGUGCCAGCCGCCGCCGUAA